GGGGUCAGGUCACUAUGGGGUUCCUCUGCCACUAUACUCGUUCCAAAGCUUCCAGCAUAAUGAUGCUGUUUCCUCGUAUUACCACCAUGCCGAUGUUGUUCUGCUGCCCACCGGGUGCCAUCUCCACGCACUCAUCAAUCACCAGGUUCAUGAAGGGGUCGAAGCCCCGCAGGAUCCCCUGCACGUGGCGGCCGCCAUUUAACUUCAGUGACAGCUUCUUGUCCAUGAACUUCUUCAGCUCGGGGGGGUGCGCCUUGCUCAUGGCGUCUCCUCAGCGCCGCUGCCGCUCGCGCCGCGUUCUGACGUCAUCACGUCGCCCG
Molecule: long non-coding RNA, 320 nt
Filed under: Gallus gallus (chicken)
Lineage: Eukaryota; Metazoa; Chordata; Aves; Galliformes; Phasianidae
Source: RNAcentral